AGGGGCUGUGGGUUCCCCGGGGCUUCCCUGCCCCGCGCCUGCCCGCCGGGCGCUUCUCCCCCUCCAGGACCGCGGCCCACGUCGCCACUCGAGCCCGAGCCCGAGCCCGCGCCCACGCGCGGGGGCCGCUUCCUGCGAGGAGGCGGGGACAGGUGUCCGCGGGCGCAAACAGCGGAGUUUCGUGCGCCUAUUUUUUGGUAAAAGUAGAGGCGAUGCGUUGUUGACAUAUUUAGUGGUUAAAAACUUAUUGCCAAAUUCUCAACAGAUUCCAGAAUUUUUUAAAGUUCACAACACGAGAGUGGACGAAAUGUCGGAGCUUUUGCUCAUAUCCAGAAAUGUGGCCUCUGCCUCCCACUCGGGCCCUGCGGUGCAGACGGGUUCAGGGCGGCGAGGACUGAGCCAGGAGCGCCGAGAGUUCCAGCUGCUCCCAGGCUGGGUUCUAAUUAACGCUGGACCCCUGCUGAGAUGGAGUCUCACUCUGUCGCCCAGGCUGGAAUGCAGUGGUGCAAUCUCGGCUCACUGCGAUCUCUGCGUCCUGGGUUCAAGCAAUUCUCCUG
This 557-nucleotide long non-coding RNA is filed under the name Homo sapiens (human). Its description in RNAcentral is "KBTBD11 antisense RNA 1 (ENSG00000282053.1)". The record is from RNAcentral. Lineage: Eukaryota; Metazoa; Chordata; Mammalia; Primates; Hominidae.